UACGUAGGUGGCAAGCGUUGUCCGGAUUUAUUGGGCGUAAAGCGAGUGCAGGCGGCUCGAUAAGUCUGAUGUGAAAGCCUUCGGCUCAACCGGAGAAUUGCAUCAGAAACUGUCGAGCUUGAGUACAGAAGAGGAGAGUGGAACUCCAUGUGUAGCGGUGAAAUGCGUAGAUAUAUUGAAGAACACCGGUGGCGAAGGCGGCUCUCUGGUCUGUUACUGACGCUGAGGCUCGAAAGCAUGGUAAGCGAACAGGAUUAGAUACCCUGGUAGUCAAGGC
RNAcentral lists this ribosomal RNA (277 nucleotides) under uncultured Lactobacillaceae bacterium. RNAcentral's name for it is "partial 16S ribosomal RNA". It matches the Rfam family "Bacterial small subunit ribosomal RNA", at positions 524 to 800 of the family's 1533-position model. Lineage: Bacteria; Bacillati; Bacillota; Bacilli; Lactobacillales; Lactobacillaceae. The record is from RNAcentral.